RNAcentral lists this unclassified non-coding RNA (759 nucleotides) under Hevea brasiliensis (rubber tree). The record is from RNAcentral. Lineage: Eukaryota; Viridiplantae; Streptophyta; Magnoliopsida; Malpighiales; Euphorbiaceae.
CUCCAUGCUCGCUUUCGCGGAGACUUGAUUUUCCCCAUCCUCAUUAAACAUGUCCACACUCUUCAGAAAAACCCCUAUAAACCAUAUUGCAGCGGCAAGAAACAGCACAGCUGUUAGAAUAAGUGCUGUUUCCCUCCAAUUGUUGAUGUUAUCCUGUAGGACCCCAACAAGUGGGGAAGAAGGUACAUCACCAAAUAUGUGGAUUGAUACAGUUGAGAUAGCCAUAGAUAAGGGUCUCAAACCAGGUUUGACACAAUGCAGACACACAAAAUUAACUGGAGCCUGAGUAGCAAAGACAAGUAGUUCACCUACAGAAAACAGGACUAUGAAACCAAACAAGCUCCUUAGACAGAAUGCACUGAAGCAAAAGAUUGCACCCAGAAAUGUUGCUCCAGAUAGAAGCUUAAAAGCAUUAGAGAUUGUAGCAUUCAUGCGAUCAAGUAUGAAGCCUCCGGCUAAAGUUCCCAAAAUUCCACAAACAAUUGUAAUCCCUCCAAACAUCAUGUCUGCAUUACUCAUAUGAUAAAUAUUAUAACCAGCUUUUGGUCCCCAGUAUGAGUAUGCUCCAAUAACAAAGUUGUACGAUAUAUAACCUAGAACAUUUACAACAUAAACUCUGUCAAGCAACAGCACUUCAAUAUCCUUUGAAACUUGUGAUAACUGCUGUAAAAUUUUAGCUUUGCCCUUCAACUUUGAGCCUUUAACAGAUGCUUGACUAUUGAUACCUUCAUUAUCAUCCUCUUCAGUUAUAGAAGCAAC